RNAcentral lists this transfer RNA (71 nucleotides) under Tetraponera rufonigra. RNAcentral describes it as "tRNA-Glu". The record is from RNAcentral. Lineage: Eukaryota; Metazoa; Arthropoda; Insecta; Hymenoptera; Formicidae.
AUUUAUGCAGUUUAAUAUAUAAACAUUAUAUUUUCAAUAUAAAAAUUAUUACUAAUAAUUAAUCAUAAAUA